CCGGGAUAGCUCAGWUGGUAGAGCAGAGGACAUGAAAAUCCUCGUGUC
This 48-nucleotide transfer RNA is filed under the name Riccia multifida. RNAcentral's name for it is "partial tRNA-Phe". Lineage: Eukaryota; Viridiplantae; Streptophyta; Marchantiopsida; Marchantiales; Ricciaceae. The record is from RNAcentral.